Molecule: long non-coding RNA, 3239 nt
Organism: Helianthus annuus (common sunflower)
Lineage: Eukaryota; Viridiplantae; Streptophyta; Magnoliopsida; Asterales; Asteraceae
Exons: 3
Source: RefSeq, a predicted model, not a curated record
UCUUCAUUCUCAGAAUUUUCAUUAUUAAAAUGAACUUCUUCAUCAUUAUCGUUAAAACCCUCAUCAGCUAAAUGUGUGGCUUCAAACUCAACUUCAUCAUUAUUAUAAUCGUCGACAUCUUCCACUUCUUCUGACCUUCCGUUCUCAUGUACAUAAGAAAUGGGGAGAAGAUCCUCUAUAACUGUGCAUUCUACCCUUUCAUUCUCUUGAAAUAAAUGUUCCAUGUUGGCAUCAUCAUCCUCCACCACUUCACUAACAUCUUGGGCGAGUUCGUAAACUCCCCUUGGGGUCGUCUUUACAACCGCUAACCAACCAUUUAGUUCUUUUGCUUUUGAAGGAUAAAUGGGUCAUCAACACAUCCUAUUACCGUAGGUUUAACAUCAACCAUAUGAGUUUUGGGGUCUACCCUUACCCCCUUCACAGGAUCAAACCAAGUACAUCUAAACAAAACAACCACACAACGCCCAGUGGCGCUAUGGUAUUCCAACUCUAGGAUCUCAUCUAAUUAUCCAUAGUAGUCGUUUUCAUUUUCGUCGUACGUAGCCCCUUUGACACAGACACCACAAUUUUGUGUGACUCGGCCAUCAUAAGUUGUUUGUGUGUGAAACUUGUAACCAUUGACAAAAUAUCCCUUGUGAGAUUUUACAUAAGUAAGCGGCCCUUGGGCUAUGUCUCUUAGAUGUUCCUUAUUUGGAACAUUCAUAACCUACAUUCAUAAAAUUGUGUUAGUAUUUUUUUAAUGCUAUAACAUAAAGAUAAAGGUGUGUCAGAAUGCUUACAUGCUCCUUCAACCACUUAGCAAAUUCCUUCUCUUUCAUUUUAUCAAGGGUUGCUUCAUCAAAGUGUGGGAAGGAAUCUCUCAACUCAUUAUCAAAUAGCCAAACGGACUCGAGAAGCUCUUCACAAUUAAGUAAUAUAUAAGUAUGAGCCUUGUCUCUAUCUUUUUGUGUAAGAAUUUUGUCAUGUCCACCUUUUUCAAAUAAUCUUCGAGAAGGAUGUUUGAAUAUACUUAACCGAAGAUCGGUACUUGAAGACCAAGGAAUGUUAGGGGCAAAGUUGUGUGGUUCACGAACUGUCGGCUCCAGAUACAGAGAGCAAUAGUUUGUAAGUUCAUCCACAAGAUUAGACUGAACAAUGGAACCUUCUAUAUUCCCUUUGUUUUUAAUCAUUCUUUUUAAUCGACCCAAUUUCCUAUAAAAUGAACUGGAAAGUUAGAAGUUAUCUAGCAUAUAAUAUGUGAAAUUGAUAUGUUAUUAAGUUAAAAAUGAUUACCUCUCGUACGGAUACAUCCACCUAAACUGCACCGGACCUCCGAGGAUAGCUUCAUUCACCAAAUGUAUAACAAGGUGUUCCAUUGAGUCAAAGAACCCAGGAGGAAAGAUUUUUUCUAACUUGCAAAUAGUUAUGACGAUACUACUCUUCAACUUUCGUAAAUCUUCAAGGUGUAGAACCCUUGAGCAUAUGACACGAAAGAACGUGCAAAGCUCUAGUAUUGAUUCCCAUAUUUGCUUUGGUAGCAUCCCUCGUAAGACGAUAGGAAAUAAUCGUUGCAUGAAGACAUGACAUUCAUGGCUUUUAAAGUUGUAAAAGGUAUUAUCCUUAAGGUUCACACAUCCCCCAAUAUGCAAUUGUUCAAGUAUAACAAGGCAAGCCCCAUCGAGGUCUAUGACUCCUACUUGCUCUCGGGUUGCAAACCAAGAGUCAAAGGAGAUUGGGAAAUUCAUUAAUGCUUUUGACAUCACGCUUGACGUUUGCUUGUCGAAUGUUUUCUCGCAAUCACGAGUUCUUGAUCAAAUUCAAGAUGAAGAGACAAAAAUAGAUGUUUGUGUGGAAGAUGAAAUGAUUGUGUAUUUGAACCGAAAAGACGUUCAAACCGCUCUUCAUGCUCGACUUGUGGUUGUCAAAAAUUGGACCCCCUGUAGGGAGGAAUACAUGAACCCAACAUCGUGUUCCAGUUUAUCAAUUUAAUAGUCAUGUACUAAUAACCAUUUCAUGUUUUUUUAACUACAGGGUUUAAGCUAGUACUCUUACAACCAUGUACAACAAGUGUGGUAAGCAGUGGCGGAGCUAGACCUUAAAACCAGGGGUAUCCCAAAAAAAAUGUUGGGUUAAUCGGUUCGUAUAAGGGUCACGGGUCGGCACGUUAUCGGGUCGCCGGUUCACGGAUACGGGUUCGCAAAGGAUGCGGGUUAUUUACGAGUCAAGUUCGGACCGAGUACGAGUCAAGCCGGUUACCGGGUUUCACAUGAAUGGGUCACACGGGUUGAAUGCAUGGGUUGCAAGAGUGUUACCGUUGGAGUGGAAGACAUUAACGUUGAGGUGUACAGUGGGUUGUAACGGUUCUUUAGGAUAGAAACUAGAAUGUAGGAUUUUAUUGUUUUCUUUUUACUAUUUAAGUAUGCAUGUAAAGACUAUAUAAAGCCUGGUUUGUUCAUGAGAUAUUAAACCAUUCAUUCAAAAUAUACAACAACCUUUUCCAUUCUCUGCAGUCUGCACAUUUUACAUAUACCGGUCCUGUUGCAAAUGGAGCAAAAACAACUAAUAUGGAAAUAACCAGCCAGUUGGGCAGAGUAAGGUGCCAGAGACCGAAGUAAAAUUGCAGCUAUUUUCUGUGAGUGGGCCGAUUCCUCUAGUUUAUAAGCUUGAGGGUCUAAAAUGCCAAAAUGCUUAAAGUUCAAACUAAUCCAUGGCACUAAAGACAAAAGUUUAAUGGGUUCGUAUUAUUGUGUUGACCGAAUUUUAAAGGUUGACCGAGUUGUGAGUUUGUUGAUUCCCAUAUGUAUUUUAUUUCUAAUUGGGCUGCACACAUAUCCAUUUGAGUAAUACAUGCAUGUGGACUACAAAUCAGUGGGCAUACGAAUGAAUUGUUGGGCUGCAAUAAGAAAAGAAAAGAAAGCAGGUAGUAGGGAGCAAGGAAGGGUCUUUCGGGGGUUCCUUAGUCUACAAGAAAAAAAAAAGAAAAAUAUAUACAUACAGACAUAUACGGCUGAAAGGAGACGCACGAAGGUUAAUAUAUCAUCACGGCAGGGACGAAUUUAGUGGUGGGAUUUUGGCAUAAGGAAUAAAGUCACGGAAUCAUUGGGUUGAAGCAAGAAGCUUGGAGAGCAAGGAAUUUAUGGGUUUUACCUUACAAUUUCUUUUAUUUUCUAGUUUCUUGGUUUUAAUUCCAUGAAUUCUUGUUUUGAAUCUUGUUUUAUUAUUUUUAAGACUAUGCUUCUUGGCUAGACUUUUUAUACUAC